UACGUAGGGUGCAAGCGUUGUCCGGAAUUAUUGGGCGUAAAGAGCUCGUAGGCGGUCUGUCGCGUCUGCUGUGAAAAUCAGGGCUCAACCCUGGACCUGCAGUGGGUACGGGCAGACUAGAGUGCGGUAGGGGAGAUCGGAAUUCCUGGUGUAGCGGUGAAAUGCGCAGAUAUCAGGAGGAACACCGGUGCGAAGGCGGAUCUCUGGGCCGUAACUGACGCUGAGGAGCGAAAGCAUGGGGAGCGAACAGGA
This 252-nucleotide ribosomal RNA is filed under the name uncultured bacterium. RNAcentral describes it as "partial 16S ribosomal RNA". It matches the Rfam family "Bacterial small subunit ribosomal RNA", at positions 524 to 777 of the family's 1533-position model. The record is from RNAcentral.